Molecule: non-coding RNA, 181 nt
Filed under: Bacillus solimangrovi
Lineage: Bacteria; Bacillati; Bacillota; Bacilli; Caryophanales; Bacillaceae
Description: Lysine sequence
Rfam family: Lysine riboswitch aptamer
About the family: Riboswitches are metabolite binding domains within certain messenger RNAs that serve as precision sensors for their corresponding targets. Allosteric rearrangement of mRNA structure is mediated by ligand binding, and this results in modulation of gene expression. This family includes riboswitches that sense lysine in a number of genes involved in lysine metabolism, including lysC.
Source: RNAcentral
CGAUGAGGUAGAGGUGCAAAAAACAAGAGUAUAAUCCACGAGGAUGACAACGAAGACUGGAUUGGAAAGGGUUUUUUGCCGAAGCAGAGAAAAAAGGUCGCUUAUUCUCUGUUGGGGCUGUCCUGAAUAAGGGCGGAACUGUCGCUGUAAAGUACGUUUAACAGCGGAGUGCUCCUAUCGU